RNAcentral lists this ribosomal RNA (392 nucleotides) under uncultured bacterium. RNAcentral describes it as "partial 16S ribosomal RNA". It matches the Rfam family "Bacterial small subunit ribosomal RNA", at positions 523 to 918 of the family's 1533-position model. The record is from RNAcentral.
AAACGGAGGAUCCGAGCGUUAUCCGGAUUUAUUGGGUUUAAAGGGUGCGCAGGCGGCCAUUUAAGUUAGCGGUUAAAUCGUGGGGCUCAACCCCAUUCUGCCGUUGAUACUGGGUGGCUUGAUUGCGGUCGAGGUUGGCGGAAUUCGUUGUGUAGCGGCGAAAUGCAUAGAUAUGACGAAGAACACCGAUUGCGUAGGCAGCUGACCAGACCGCAAAUGACGCUCAUGCACGAAAGUGCGGGGAUCGAACAGGAUUAGAUACCCUGGUAGUCCGCACAGUAAACGAUGAAUACUUGUUUUCGGCGAUAUAAUGUCGGAGGCAAAGCGAAAGCGAUAAGUAUUCCACCUGGGGAGUACGCCGGCAACGGUGAAACUCAAAUGAAUUGGCGGGG